Molecule: ribosomal RNA, 799 nt
Filed under: Streptomyces griseoluteus
Lineage: Bacteria; Bacillati; Actinomycetota; Actinomycetes; Kitasatosporales; Streptomycetaceae
Description: bacterial SSU rRNA
Rfam family: Bacterial small subunit ribosomal RNA
Source: RNAcentral
GUGCUUAACACAUGCAAGUCGAACGAUGAACCACUUCGGUGGGGAUUAGUGGCGAACGGGUGAGUAACACGUGGGCAAUCUGCCCUUCACUCUGGGACAAGCCCUGGAAACGGGGUCUAAUACCGGAUAACACUGCGGAUCGCAUGGUCUGCGGUUAAAAGCUCCGGCGGUGAAGGAUGAGCCCGCGGCCUAUCAGCUUGUUGGUGAGGUAAUGGCUCACCAAGGCGACGACGGGUAGCCGGCCUGAGAGGGCGACCGGCCACACUGGGACUGAGACACGGCCCAGACUCCUACGGGAGGCAGCAGUGGGGAAUAUUGCACAAUGGGCGAAAGCCUGAUGCAGCGACGCCGCGUGAGGGAUGACGGCCUUCGGGUUGUAAACCUCUUUCAGCAGGGAAGAAGCGAAAGUGACGGUACCUGCAGAAGAAGCGCCGGCUAACUACGUGCCAGCAGCCGCGGUAAUACGUAGGGCGCAAGCGUUGUCCGGAAUUAUUGGGCGUAAAGAGCUCGUAGGCGGCUUGUCACGUCGAUUGUGAAAGCCCGAGGCUUAACCUCGGGUCUGCAGUCGAUACGGGCUAGCUAGAGUGUGGUAGGGGAGAUCGGAAUUCCUGGUGUAGCGGUGAAAUGCGCAGAUAUCAGGAGGAACACCGGUGGCGAAGGCGGAUCUCUGGGCCAUUACUGACGCUGAGGAGCGAAAGCGUGGGGAGCGAACAGGAUUAGAUACCCUGGUAGUCCACGCCGUANACGGUGGGAACUAGGUGUUGGCGACAUUCCACGUCGUCGGUGCCGCAGCUAACGC